Molecule: non-coding RNA, 29 nt
Filed under: Rattus norvegicus (Norway rat)
Lineage: Eukaryota; Metazoa; Chordata; Mammalia; Rodentia; Muridae
Source: RNAcentral
UAUCAACUACAUGUCUGACUUCAGUUGUU